UCUUCCCAUUCCGAACAGAGAAGUUAAGCUUCGUCACGCCGAUGGUACUGCGUAACAGUGGGAGAGUAGGUAGCCGCCGUUU
This 82-nucleotide ribosomal RNA is filed under the name Bacteroides gallinaceum. RNAcentral also lists the same sequence under 1 other name. Lineage: Bacteria; Pseudomonadati; Bacteroidota; Bacteroidia; Bacteroidales; Bacteroidaceae. The record is from RNAcentral.